AUCGCUCGCUAUGACGUGCGCUGACCACCAGGGGGUGGUGCAGAACAUGGCAGGCAUCCAUGACGUGAAAUGGCAGCAGGUGGCAGUGGAGGCGCUGCCAGCCCCAAUGGCCCCUGAUAAGAGCUGGAUUGCAGUGGGAUGGUGGAGCAGUCCCUUCUAGGCAAGCCAAUCUCCUGUGGUUCCUCCCCAGCCAGUUGGCCCCAAUUGUAUCUCUGCAGCUGAAAGAAGUCGGCGUUGUCAACAGAAUAUGUCUGACUACCAACUAUUGACACAAUGUACCUCUGCAGCUGAAAUAAAGCGGCAUCAUUGACAGAGUAUGUCUGAAAAACUGUCAUCAACAAGUACUGCCAAUACUGCAUUUCUAUCUUUGGAUGAACGUACCUGGAGUUACAUAUCUGAGAUACUGGAAAAAGAAAAGUUGUGGCCACAGGAACUCAUCCUUCAUCUAUUCGCCACCUGUCCUCAUCAAGACCAAGAAGAAAUUCUGCAAUAGUGUUCAGCCUGACUGUUUCCAAGCAAGAGACUGUUGAAAAAAAUCAUUCUUAAAGGAGGGAAAACCCUAAUCUGAAAAAAGGGGUCACAUUCAUUUAUUUUUUUCUGUCUGUUUAUAUUUGAAGUCUUUGAAAAGCAAAUUUAUUCUUACCACUUAAAAGUGACUUAAAAGACAUCAGUAUGAGCUGUGGCUUUAUAGUUGACUUUUAGUCCAAUAGUUUAAGUCACAACCUUGGGAAAAUGGUCAGUCUUUCCCCUUUGUUCUCUGACAAACUACCUUGUAAAUAAAUGAGCAUGCCUGGUCAGUAGUGAGGUUGGCUGAAAGAAAGAGAACGUUUAGGAUAUUUCUUUGAUCUCUUUGACCCAAUUGUGUGCUUUACUCUGUAGUCAGGAUGCAAGAAAGCAGUCCUUAACAAAAUCUCCAAUGUGAUUUCCAUGUGGACACCAUACGCCAUGCCCUUAAAAUAACUCUUUCUAAUCUUCAGUCUUACAAUGUUCCAGAUUUAAAUUCCAUCUGUACCCACCUCCCAGCUUCUUUUCUGCCACUCCAGGGCUGAGUAGCCAUAAAUAAUCUCUCCAUCUUUGGGGCUGAGUCAAACAUACAGGAUAACUUAAGAGAAUGCCUUAUCUGUAUGGUUGAAUUUAACUCUAUGGAUUUCAGAAUAAAUAUUCUUUACUGAGAGCUACUACAAGGUCUACCUAAAUGUCUUCAUUUUAGACGAUGGUGAAACUUUAAUAACUACUCUCUUAUAAAUUAAUAAAUAUUGUAUUGUGUGUUAUGUGUAGUACUAGAGGCCUGGUGCAUGAAUUCGUGCACCAGUGGGGUCCCUUGGCCUGGCCUGUGGGAUGGAGCCGAAACUGGCUCUCCAACAUCCCUCAAGGGGUCCUGGAUUUUGAGAGGGUGCAGGCCAGGCUGAGGGACCCCACUGGUGCAUGAUUGGGGCUGGG
Myotis daubentonii (Daubenton's bat) is the source of this 1440-nucleotide long non-coding RNA. RefSeq lists it as uncharacterized. Lineage: Eukaryota; Metazoa; Chordata; Mammalia; Chiroptera; Vespertilionidae. The record is from RefSeq and is a predicted model, not a curated record.